CCCGCCCACCCGCGGGCGGUCUCGAACCCGCGGCGCUCGGGUUUCCAACCCCACCUCGGUGUUCAGACGAUGCUCUUCGAGGAGCCGAGAAGCUACUAGGAUGAAAUUAGGAGAGAAAUCCAAAUUUCUCUUUACAUUUCUUCCCUCCCCUGCUGCUUCCAGGCCUGCUCCCACCUCCAGAAGAAUUCCAGCAGGAUCUUUAUCCCCCAGGGGAACAAAAACCAGCCCCCCAGGUUGAGUGGGAUGAUGGGCUGGUCCACCCAUGCCGGGGCCCACAGAGGACAGCAGCACUGAAAUGGACAACUUCUGGGCACCAUCUGCAUCUCCUGCUUGUGAUGUGACUCGUCAGAGCAGCACUCAUGCCAGAGGCACCGGCAGCAUGCACAGCUCCACAGGAGAGCUUGGGAAAUUGCGACACAGGAAAUUACACCUCCAGCCCCGGGGAAGAGUUUGGGUGCUCCCUUGGAUGUCACCGGAGCGUGACCCCCUGCGUUGGCCCCCCCUGGACUUGUGCUUUGCUCCUGCAGCUAAGAAAACAAGAUCUCCUGCAAGAUCUCACCACAAGGAGAGGGGCUGUCCCUGCUCAGAUCACAGAAUCACGGAAUGGUUAGGGUCGGAAAGGACCUCAAAACCCAUCCAGGUCCAUGGGGAGGGACACCUUGCACUGAAUCGGGUUGUUCAAAGCCCCGUCCAACCUGGCCUUGAACACCUCCAGGGAUGGGGAAGACACCACUGCUCUGGGCAACCUGGGCCAGGACUUCCCCACCCUCACCGUGAAGAAUUUCUUCCUAAUGUCUAAUCUAAAUCUUCCCCCUUCCAAUUUAAAGGAAUUUCCCCUAUCACUCAUCCUAUCAGUCCAGACCCUUGGAAAAAGUCUCUUCCCAACUUUCCUAGAGCCCCUUCAGGGCUGGAAGGCCACUCUAAGGUCUCCCUGGAGUCUUCUCUUCUCCAGGCUGAACAAACCCUCUCAGGCUGUCGUAGCAGAGGUGCUCCAGCCCUUGGAUCAUCUUUGUGACCUUCUCUGGACCGACUCCAACAGUUCCAUCUCCUUCAUGUGCUGGAGUUUCAACAUCGGAUGCGAGGAGAGCCCCCCUCAAACCCCAGUGGACCAUGCAGUGUUAUCUUAGAGGAGAUCAGCAGAUUUGGCUCCCCAUCAUCUCUGCAACGUUCCAUUAAAUGGCACCAAGACAGUUUAUCCGCUGCUUACAUGUGUUUAAGACGUUAACUUACUAACACAAUAAAACUGCUACCAUGAAGCUUUCCUGCCUCCUUUCCCACAUGGAGACCAUCAUUGUUGGAAGCAUCUGGACACCUCAUAUGGAAAUACCUGGGGUUGCUUUUCAUAUAUGAAUCACUUGGGAUCCCCCUUCCAGCAUUUCCCAACCUUGGCUGGAGGACAGGGAGUUCAGAGAAGGGGAACGGACCUGGGGAAGGGACUGGAGAACAAAUCUUAUGAGGAGCAGCUGGGGUUGUUUUUCCUGGAGAAAAGGAUGCUAAGGAGAGACCCUAUCACUGUCUACAACUGCCCGAGAGGAGGUUGUGGUGAGAUGGGUGUCGGUCUCUUCACCCAAGUGACAGGCGAUAGGAUGAGAGGGAAUGGCCUCAAGUUGCACCAGGGCAGGUUCAGAUUGGACAUCAGGAAAAAUGUCUUCACACAAAGGGUUCUGAGGCCCUGGCAGAGGCUGUCCAGGGAGGUGGUGGAGUCCCCAUCCCUGGUUGUGUUUAAAAGCCGUGUAGAUGAGGUGCUCAGGGAUCUGGUUUAGUAGUGGACAGGUAUGGUUGAGCUUGAUGAUCUCCAAGAUCUUUUUCAACUAAGCAAUUCUAUGAUUCAAAGUAAUGGGGUUAAGGGCCAGUCCUGGGGUGAAGUCAUCUCAUCCUGCCUGGGCACCUGGGGCGCUGGGUGGUGCUGGGUGGGCUGCGUGCUGGUGGUCUCCAACAACAAUGCUCUGAAACAUAGGAUCAUAGAAUGGUUCGGGUUGGAAGGGACAUUAAAGCCCAUCCAGUUCCACCCGCUCCCAUGGACAGGGACACCUCCCACUGGAUCAGGUUGCUCCAAGCCCCAUCCAACCUGGUCUUGAACACCUCCAGGGAUGGGGCAGCCACAGCUUCUCUGGGCAACCUGAGCCACGGCCUCCCCACCCUCAGAGUGACGAAUUUCUUCCUAACGCCUCAUCUAAAUCUUCUCCUUUCCAACUUCAAGCCAUUCCCCCUCAUCUUCUCACUCAGUGAAUCGGUAACUCCUCCUCCCACUUCGCUUUGGAAGUGGUCGGAGGGGGACCCUGGCUGAUUCAUGUAUUUAUUUUCCCCGGUGCCAUACGAAAGGCAACCCCGGGUGUUCCCAUGCCUAGGUGCUUCCAACACUGACAUUCUCCAGGAGAAAAAUAGGCAGGAAAGCUUCUUAGCAGCAGUUUUAUUGUGUUAAUAAGUUUGGCGUCUAUAAGCAACAUAUGUAAAUGACUGAUAUACUGUCUUGAUGCCAUUUAACAUUAUGUUGCGGAGGUGAGCGGGAGCCAAGUCUGCAGCAUUUCGACUAAUACGUGAGGAGCUGCCAAUUCUGGUGGGGUUUUUUUUCUUUCCUCCUUUUUUUCCCCCUUUUUUUUUUCAAUUUAAACAAGUUAGCAAUCUGCCUGCGCCAAAAUAAUGACUUGGACCCUUCCGUCUCCGUUGCCGUUUCUUGGAAAAUGGGUAAAUAUUGUGUUCAUUUAGCCCUGGCGGCAGCUCGAGUCCCCAGCGCUGGGAUGGAAAAUCUCAUCUUGCCGGGUAUCCCGAUCCUCAUUGCUGCGGUGGAGGGGAGGAAAGAGUAGACCAUGGCUGUUGG
Long non-coding RNA from Cuculus canorus (common cuckoo), 2818 nucleotides. RefSeq lists it as uncharacterized. The record is from RefSeq and is a predicted model, not a curated record. Lineage: Eukaryota; Metazoa; Chordata; Aves; Cuculiformes; Cuculidae. The transcript is spliced from 4 exons.